UCACGAAAGUGAGCUGUACUAGAAGUCGUCGCGCUAACCGCAAGGAGGCAGACGCCCAAGGUAUGACUCAUGAUUGGGGUG
RNAcentral lists this ribosomal RNA (81 nucleotides) under uncultured bacterium. RNAcentral describes it as "partial 16S ribosomal RNA". The record is from RNAcentral.